AGUGAACGCUGGCGGUAGGCCUAACACAUGCCAGUCGAACGGCAGCACAGUAAGAGCUUGCUCUUACGGGUGGCGAGUGGCGGACGGGUGAGGAAUACAUCGGAAUCUACUUUUUCGUGGGGGAUAACGUAGGGAAACUUACGCUAAUACCGCAUACGACCUACGGGUGAAAGCAGGGGAUCUUCGGACCUUGCGCGAUUGAAUGAGCCGAUGUCGGAUUAGCUAGUUGGCGGGGUAAAGGCCCACCAAGGCGACGAUCCGUAGCUGGUCUGAGAGGAUGAUCAGCCACACUGGAACUGAGACACGGUCCAGACUCCUACGGGAGGCAGCAGUGGGGAAUAUUGGACAAUGGGCGCAAGCCUGAUCCAGACAUACCGCGUGGGUGAAGAAGGCCUUCGGGUUGUAAAGCCCUUUUGUUGGGAAAGAAAAGCAGCAGGUUAAUACCCCGCUGUUCUGACGGUACCCAAAGAAUAAGCACCGGCUAACUUCGUG
RNAcentral lists this ribosomal RNA (492 nucleotides) under uncultured bacterium. Its description in RNAcentral is "partial 16S ribosomal RNA". It matches the Rfam family "Bacterial small subunit ribosomal RNA", at positions 29 to 507 of the family's 1533-position model. The record is from RNAcentral.